RNAcentral lists this long non-coding RNA (505 nucleotides) under Apteryx owenii (little spotted kiwi). Its description in RNAcentral is "lncRNA (ENSAOWG00000000318.1)". The record is from RNAcentral. Lineage: Eukaryota; Metazoa; Chordata; Aves; Apterygiformes; Apterygidae.
GGUUUUUUUGUGUUUUUUUUGUGGUGUUUUGUCUGUUUUCAUUGUUUGGGUUGGUUUUGGUGGUCUGGGUUUUUUUGUGUGGUGUGGCUGUUUUGGAUAAGGGGGUGUUUGCCCCCAUGACCAUGACUUUUUGGUGACCUCGCAGAACAAGGUCCAGAUCAUGGUGUGAUCUGAUAAAGGCUGCUGGGAGGCUUUGCCCGGAGCAGGAUGCUGGGAUCAACUCUGAGGGACGUGGUAUUUUGGGCAACCCCCCUGCACUCGCCYCCCAAAGAGGAGAGUUAGAAUGCCACUGAAAGAAAGGAGUGGAGAGGAAUGUUCUGUGAAAGGGCAGCAACCCAACAGCAGAGGACUGGCACUAGGGAGGUGGUGGUGUGUGACAGCAGCCUAGAAGUUCGUUGGGAGCAAAGCCAAGAAACCUACGUUGUGCAAGAAGAGAAGAGGAGCAAGGAAGAAAGCAGUUUGCAGCAUGGACAGGUCUAGGUAGCACAACAAGUCUGGCCCAAAC